This 149-nucleotide small RNA is filed under the name Arabidopsis thaliana (thale cress). RNAcentral describes it as "ATSL298300". The record is from RNAcentral. Lineage: Eukaryota; Viridiplantae; Streptophyta; Magnoliopsida; Brassicales; Brassicaceae.
AAUAAAAGAAGAAAAAACGCAUUACACAAUUACUUUUCAAAUGCUAUUUUACCCAACAUUUAUCAAAAGCUUAUGUUGAUCAUUUCCACUUAAAAUUUUCUAUGUACUGACCUAUUGAGAAUGUAUCUACUGUCUUUAUGGUUGAUUCU